GCCCGGGUGGCGGAAUUGGUAGACGCAAGGGACUUAAAAUCCCUCGGCUUUUGCUGUGCGGGUUCGAGUCCCGCCCCGGGCACCA
RNAcentral lists this transfer RNA (85 nucleotides) under Thiorhodovibrio winogradskyi. RNAcentral's name for it is "tRNA-Leu". It matches the Rfam family "tRNA". From Rfam's summary of the family: Transfer RNA (tRNA) molecules are approximately 80 nucleotides in length. Their secondary structure includes four short double-helical elements and three loops (D, anti-codon, and T loops). RNAcentral also lists the same sequence under 2 other names. The record is from RNAcentral. Lineage: Bacteria; Pseudomonadati; Pseudomonadota; Gammaproteobacteria; Chromatiales; Chromatiaceae.